RNAcentral lists this ribosomal RNA (499 nucleotides) under uncultured bacterium. Its description in RNAcentral is "partial 16S ribosomal RNA". It matches the Rfam family "Bacterial small subunit ribosomal RNA", at positions 28 to 507 of the family's 1533-position model. The record is from RNAcentral.
GACGAACGCUGGCGGCGUGCCUAAUACAUGCAAGUCGAGCGGACUUUCAAGAAGCUUGCUUUUUGAAAGUUAGCGGCGGACGGGUGAGUAACACGUGGGCAACCUGCCUGCAAGACGGGGAUAACUCCGGGAAACCGGGGCUAAUCCCGGAUAAUAUCUUCCUUCGCAUGAAGGAAGGUUGAAAGGCGGCGCAAGCUGCCGCUUGCAGAUGGGCCCGCGGCGCAUUAGCUAGUUGGUGAGGUAACGGCUCACCAAGGCGACGAUGCGUAGCCGACCGGAGGGGGUGAUCGGCCGCACUGGGACUGAGACACGGCCCAGACUCCUACGGGAGGCAGCAGUAGGGAAUCUUCCGCAAUGGACGAAAGUCUGACGGAGCAACGCCGCGUGAGCGAAGAAGGUCUUCGGAUCGUAAAGCUCGGUUGUCAGGGAAGAACAAGUACCGUUCGAACAGGGCGGUACCUUGACGGUACCUGACCAGAAAGCCACGGCUAACUACGUG